UUAGAAUUUCGGGGAUCAAUUUAUCGGUCGUGCCAAUGGUAUGAACUGGUACAAUUGGUUUCUCCCCUCUGACCGAAGCAUGAUGUCAUUAACGUGGUGUCGUGGGGGAAUCAGGACUGUUACUUUGAAAAAAUUAGAGUGUUUAAAGCAAGCAUUACGCUUGAAUACAUUAGCACGGAAUAAUGAAAUAGGACGUUUGAUCCUAUUUCGUUGGUUUCUAGGAUCGACGUAAUGAUUAAUAGGGAUAGUUGGGGGCAUUAGUAUUCAAUUGUCAGAGGUGAAAUUCUUGGAUUUAUUGAAGACUAACUACUGCGAAAGCAUUUGCCAAGGAUGUUUUCAUUAAUCAAGAACGAAAGUUAGGGGAUCGAAGACGAUCAGAUACCGUCGUAGUCUUAACCAUAAACUAUGCCGACUAGGGAUCGGAUGAUGUUAAUUUUUUAAUGACUC
RNAcentral lists this ribosomal RNA (447 nucleotides) under fungal sp. RNAcentral's name for it is "SSU rRNA". It matches the Rfam family "Eukaryotic small subunit ribosomal RNA", at positions 634 to 1077 of the family's 1831-position model. The record is from RNAcentral. Lineage: Eukaryota; Fungi.